Molecule: microRNA, 22 nt
Filed under: Marek's disease virus serotype 2 MDV2
Lineage: Duplodnaviria; Heunggongvirae; Peploviricota; Herviviricetes; Herpesvirales; Orthoherpesviridae
Description: mdv2-miR-M24-3p
Gene: mdv2-miR-M24-3p
Source: miRBase by way of RNAcentral
UUAGAUGCCGUCAGGGAAAGAU